CAAGACAUAGCUCAACAUAAAGCAUCCGGCUUACACCCGGAAGAUAUCAACCAUAUUUGAUUGUCUUGA
RNAcentral lists this transfer RNA (69 nucleotides) under Colobus angolensis palliatus. Its description in RNAcentral is "tRNA-Val". It matches the Rfam family "tRNA". From Rfam's summary of the family: Transfer RNA (tRNA) molecules are approximately 80 nucleotides in length. Their secondary structure includes four short double-helical elements and three loops (D, anti-codon, and T loops). Further hydrogen bonds mediate the characteristic L-shaped molecular structure. tRNAs have two regions of fundamental functional importance: the anti-codon, which is responsible for specific mRNA codon recognition, and the 3' end, to which the tRNAs corresponding amino acid is attached (by aminoacyl-tRNA synthetases). tRNAs cope with the degeneracy of the genetic code in two manners: having more than one tRNA (with a specific anti-codon) for a particular amino acid; and 'wobble' base-pairing, i.e. permitting non-standard base-pairing at the 3rd anti-codon position. The record is from RNAcentral. Lineage: Eukaryota; Metazoa; Chordata; Mammalia; Primates; Cercopithecidae.